RNAcentral lists this ribosomal RNA (277 nucleotides) under uncultured bacterium. RNAcentral describes it as "partial 16S ribosomal RNA". It matches the Rfam family "Bacterial small subunit ribosomal RNA", at positions 32 to 303 of the family's 1533-position model. The record is from RNAcentral.
AAUCAACGCUGGCGGCGUGCCUAACACAUGCAAGUCGAACGAGAAAGUGGAGCAAUCCAUGAGUAAAGUGGCGACCGGGUGAGUAACACGUGACUAACCUACCCUUGAAUGGGGAAUAACCUUCCGAAAGGAGGGCUAAUACCGCAUAACGUCCUAAGGAUGAAACGCCUAAGGACCAAAGGAGCAAUUCGUUUAAGGAGGGGGUCGCGGUUGAUUAGCUAGUUGGUGGGGUAAUGGCCCACCAAGGCGAUGAUCAAUAGCCGGCCUGAGAGGGCGC